AAAGUUGAAAAGAACUUUGAAGAGAGAGUUCAAGAGUACGUGAAACCGUUCAGGGGUAAACCUGAGAAACCCAAAAGAUCGAAUGGGGAGAUUCAUCGUCAGCUCAUUUUGUAUAUGUAUGAGUUACGAUGCGAGUUACUACUUGUAGUAUUGCUUGCACGUUCUUAUAUAUUUAGUUGCAAGAUGUUGUCGGCGUGCACUUCUCCCCUAGUAGAACGUCGCGACCCGUUGGGUGUCGGUCUACGGCCCAAGUGGUAGUCUUUAAUAUUUAAAAAUAUUGAAGACCCUUGGUGUUUUCUGACCGGCUAUUCGGCGGUACUCGUACGGUAUUAAGCCGCAUAUCUUAUUUUUAUGCGUCCAUGCCCGUCGCAAGCGAGGCCAAUUUCUGGUAGUGCGGACCUAGUGCCGUCGCUGGUAUUGGCCAGCUGUUGGUUGUUACGGUGUUCUAGGACUGGCUUAAAAAUUUAUAUUACCGGUCGGCGAUGCUACUGCUUUGGGUACUUUCAGGACCCGUCUUGAAACACGGACCAAGGAGUCUAACAUGUACGCAAGUCAUUGGGAUUUUUUUUAAAUUAAACCUAAAGGCAUAAUGAAAGUAAAAGUCGUCCUUGCGUCGACCGAGGGAGGAUGAGUUAUAUUAAGAUAUAGCUUCGCACUCCCGGGGCGUCUCAUUCUUAUUAUAAGAAGAGGCGCACCUAGAGCGUACACGUU
Molecule: ribosomal RNA, 711 nt
Filed under: Mesocentrus sp. BIOUG32089-E02
Lineage: Eukaryota; Metazoa; Arthropoda; Insecta; Hymenoptera; Braconidae
Description: partial 28S ribosomal RNA
Rfam family: Eukaryotic large subunit ribosomal RNA
Source: RNAcentral